CGUUAUCUUUUUCUCUUUUUUGUCAUUUUAGUUUCUACCUUCUGCAGGAUGAAGACUUGUAUUGUCGCCCUUCUUGUCGUCCUGUGUCUGACGUCAGCAAUAUGUAACGCUUCUCGUUUCUGUGGUAACGGGUUGACUGCCUGUGGUCAAAUAAGCCGAAUAAAACGGAUUCUCUGUGGAGGACUCACCGCAUGUGGAGGGGACUUAACCCGAGAAAAAAGAGAGAUAAGGGACAACGUUAACAUGAAAGCAUUUUCUCCCUGAAACGAAAAAGAAAUAAGUGAAGCUAACGCUGAUGGAAUAGAGUCUUGUACAGAUUUGUGUAUGAAUAACUGUAUAUCGUUUGAAUUAAAGAUUACUUGUUAU
This is a long non-coding RNA of Saccostrea echinata, 366 nucleotides long. RefSeq lists it as uncharacterized. The record is from RefSeq and is a predicted model, not a curated record. The transcript has 4 exons. NCBI's taxonomy places the organism in Eukaryota, Metazoa, Mollusca, Bivalvia, Ostreida, Ostreidae.